This is a non-coding RNA of Pelodiscus sinensis (Chinese soft-shelled turtle), 1097 nucleotides long. Lineage: Eukaryota; Metazoa; Chordata; Testudines; Trionychidae. The record is from RefSeq and is a predicted model, not a curated record.
CGCAGAGGUAGCGUCCCCGAGUCGUCCCUGCACAUGUGGUUGCGUGUCACACCGGUCACACCUGGGGAGAUGCAGAAGCUGUUCUAAUUCUGAGAACACAGUUCAAGCCAGGAAGUAGGAAAAAUGUUAUCCAGCAGAAGUUACAUGGGAAUUAUACUGCAUUUUGCUUGGGAAAAUGCCUAAUGGAAGCUGCUAAGGCUGCACAUGCUGGCCAGGUGCUGUACAAACAUCAAUCCCUCCCCAAAGGACUUACAAAGUAAAAUAUAAAACAGAGGGACAAAGCACACAAUGGUGGUGGGUAACAACCUAAAAGGAUGUGCACAAAUCUCAGUCAUUUAACAAUUUAUUACACAUCUAGUCAUCCAAUUGUAGUGGGCUGUGUGCAUUAAGGAAGAGGUGGGUUCUGAGGAGGGCUACUGAAAAAAGACAGGAUGGUGGCCUUGCUGAUUUUGACUGGAAUUUUUUUUCCUACAUUUGUGAAGUAGGCAGGGCUGGGAGAAAGUGCAAAUGCACUUGUCAGCAACGACCAAACAGCUGACAAAAUAGAAAAGAAACUGACCAGUAAAUUUAUGCUGACCAGCUGCACAAAUGGCUGACUAUCAUAAAUGUCAUAAUUUAAGCAUGAGAGGUCAAAUGUAAAAAAGAUUCAAGAAGGAAACAGAGGACAGUGUAAAAUUUUGUUAUCUAGGCAUAUCAAAUAAUGUGAUAGGUUUAGCAAAAUUAAAGACAGUAACUAGUUUUAUCUAUAUAAUGUAAAUGAAAGCCAUGCUCAUUGGGAACCAUCUCCAGCUGCUGGAACUCUGAACCCUCUGUAUGACUGUGGUGUGCAGAGGCAUUACCAGAAACCUGCAGAUGAGUGGAUCCUGACUGGGCAUCAGGUACAGUUUGUCUGUAUAAUAGGAGUGGUGAGCAGUUGCUUGGCAUGUGUAUUCUGUGUAUGUUGCUAAUAAACAGAUGUUUAGAGCGCACCUGUGUAAGACUCAGUGGGAAAAGGUGCCACAGACAUGUAAAGCCCUGAAGAAAAGUAGCAGCUAAAUUAACUGGUAGUCCUGUGGCACCUUAGAGACUAAAAAAAUAUAUAUAGUAUCAUGAGCUUC